Molecule: ribosomal RNA, 250 nt
Filed under: uncultured bacterium
Lineage: Bacteria
Description: partial 16S ribosomal RNA
Rfam family: Bacterial small subunit ribosomal RNA
Source: RNAcentral
UACGGAGGACCCAAGCGUUAUUCGGAUUUAUUGGGUUUAAAGGGUGCGUAGGCGGAUUAGUAAGUCAGAGGUGAAAUCCCACAGCUUAACUGUGGAACUGCCUUUGAUACUGCUAACCUUGAGUACAGAUGAUGUGGGCGGAAUAUGACAUGUAGCGGUGAAAUGCUUAGAUAUGUCAUAGAACACCGAUUGCGAAGGCAGCUCACAAAACUGUAACUGACGCUGAGGCACGAAAGCAUGGGGAUCGAAC